RNAcentral lists this ribosomal RNA (635 nucleotides) under uncultured Marinobacter sp. RNAcentral describes it as "bacterial SSU rRNA". It matches the Rfam family "Bacterial small subunit ribosomal RNA", at positions 870 to 1504 of the family's 1533-position model. The record is from RNAcentral. Lineage: Bacteria; Pseudomonadati; Pseudomonadota; Gammaproteobacteria; Pseudomonadales; Marinobacteraceae.
CGCCUGGGGAGUACAGCCGCAAGGUUAAAACUCAAAUGAAUUGACGGGGGCCCGCACAAGCGGUGGAGCAUGUGGUUUAAUUCGACGCAACGCGAAGAACCUUACCUGGCCUUGGCAUCCAGAGAACUUUCCAGAGAUGGAUUGGUGCCUUCGGGAACUCUGAGACAGGUGCUGCAUGGCCGUCGUCAGCUCGUGUCGUGAGAUGUUGGGUUAAGUCCCGUAACGAGCGCAACCCCUAUCCCUGGUUGCUAGCAGGUAAUGCUGAGAACUCCAGGGAGACUGCCGGUGACAAACCGGAGGAAGGUGGGGAUGACGUCAGGUCAUCAUGGCCCUUACGGCCAGGGCUACACACGUGCUACAAUGGCGCGUACAGAGGGCUGCCAACUCGCGAGAGUGAGCCAAUCCCUUAAAACGCGUCGUAGUCCGGAUCGGAGUCUGCAACUCGACUCCGUGAAGUCGGAAUCGCUAGUAAUCGCGAAUCAGAAUGUCGCGGUGAAUACGUUCCCGGGCCUUGUACACACCGCCCGUCACACCAUGGGAGUGGGAUGCAAAAGAAGUAGUUAGUCUAACCUUCGGGAGGACGAUUACCACUUUGUGUUUCAUGACUGGGGUGAAGUCGUAACAAGGUAACCGUA